This 93-nucleotide transfer-messenger RNA is filed under the name Haemophilus haemolyticus. RNAcentral's name for it is "partial transfer-messenger RNA". It matches the Rfam family "transfer-messenger RNA", at positions 1 to 94 of the family's 374-position model. Rfam says of the family: Bacterial tmRNA, also known as 10Sa RNA or SsrA, is named for its dual tRNA and mRNA-like properties. Its role is to liberate the mRNA from a stalled ribosome. The record is from RNAcentral. RNAcentral also lists the same sequence under 1 other name. Lineage: Bacteria; Pseudomonadati; Pseudomonadota; Gammaproteobacteria; Pasteurellales; Pasteurellaceae.
GGGGCUGAUUCUGGAUUCGACGGGAUUAGCGAAGCCCAAGGUGCACGUCGAGGUGCGGUAGGCCUCGUAAAUAAACCGCAAAAAAAUAGUCGC